GUGCUUGCUUUGGCAGCAUGUAUACUAAAUUGAAACAAUACAGUGAAGAUUAGCAUGGUCCCAACGCAAGGAUGACAUGCAGAUUUGUGAAGUGUUCCAUAUUUUU
Molecule: small nuclear RNA, 106 nt
Organism: Balaenoptera musculus (blue whale)
Lineage: Eukaryota; Metazoa; Chordata; Mammalia; Artiodactyla; Balaenopteridae
Source: Ensembl